This is a long non-coding RNA of Mus musculus (house mouse), 1779 nucleotides long. RefSeq annotates it as predicted gene, 41252. The transcript is spliced from 3 exons. Lineage: Eukaryota; Metazoa; Chordata; Mammalia; Rodentia; Muridae. The record is from RefSeq and is a predicted model, not a curated record.
GGUAAGUGAUCCAGAACAGGCUGAACUGAUAAAAAUAUGUGUGAAAAUGUCCAGAUUGACGAUAUAUCCUAAAAAUAAGUUUCACAAAAUAGCGGAAGAAGUAGAAAGGGCCUGGUUUCCCAUACAUGUGAUUUCAUCUUUAAUUUUUUUUAAGGUCUAAAAUAUUCAGUUUGAAAAUGAUUUGAGCACUGCCAUCUGGAAUGGAUAGAGAGUGAAAGGCCCUAGAUGGGGAACAAUAGAAAGCAUCGUUGGAAGAGUGAAGGGGCAAAACUUGAUGUGUUGACAGCAAACAAACGCGUGCACAGCCCCGCAUGUAGAGUGGAGACUUUCCCCACUUGUCUUCAAAGCAGUAUGCUCUACGUACGCCCUGGCGAGAGCCAAGUUAGCUUAACUGUUAUUUACUUCUCUUCUCAAGAUUCCAAAGCAGAUGAGCAUUGCUGCAUUGCCAGCUCUGAGAGAACGCGGGGGUUUCCAAUUAUAAAUUCUAACCUUAGACAAGCAAGCCCCCUUCCAACUCCAACAAGGAAAUUCAGAGCUCUAACAUAACAGUGUUUUAAGAGCAUCCUGCCCGCAUUGGUUAGACCUGCAGUGUGGGGCUUGCUUCAUAUCAGAAAACCAGAUUUCUUGGUGUAUAUAGAGCAUGCUAUGAAUACUCAUCACAGGGCCAAUCUACUCGGGACAACACUGGGAUACUUUUAUAUUCUUCUGUGAUUGAAAUGACUUUGUCUUCUACAAUUGUCAAGGAAUUUGGAGAAGAUUUCUGUGUGACAUCUUCAGCAAGCUCAUGACCAAGCAUUAAUUACAUUGGACAGACAGGAUAUGUACCAAGCAGGCAUGGUAAACCUUAGAGACGUGAUCAGGAAACAUACAGAGCUCAUGUCGAUGAAGAGUCUAAAAUUCUAGGGAAGGAAUUUGCACAUGCAAACAGAUAGACAUUUUUAAAAUUCUAAUAUGAUUUCAAAAAUGUAUUGUAUCAAAUUAGUAACCAGUGUUCCUAUGAUAAAUGAAUAUAAAUAACAUGAAUAUAAACACCCAGGUUUGGAGAUUGAGUAUUUAAAUUAUUAAUUUUGAGGGUUCGGAAGCUUGACCAAGUCCUUAUUAUUUGCCUCAAGGACAACUUCCUGAGUCUUUCGUGUGUCUGGCUAUCAGAUAUUUCUACACUGGCAUAACGGAGCAAGCCACUACACUGAAGUUAUGGGCUGGGAAUUUAUUUUCUUCUACUGUCCUGUCAGAGGAGAUAGGAACUUCUGUGCACAAAACCAAAUGAGAAGCUCUGACCUUUAGCCUGGCAUUUAGUUGCCUCCAACUCAUUCUUACUUAUGCCGAAGGUCACAGUGGAUAAUCUCAAGCCCUAAGCAAUUUCAUAGCCACAUUGGACAAACUCUACACUUGCUUCCAUAAUUAAACAUCAGACUUCAAAAAAGGAAGUGAUGGAAGAGAGACAGAAAAAUACCCUAGAUGAGAAGCUGGACUCUAACAGGAAAGUCAUGGAAUCAGCCUGGUGAGAGAGAGGAAGGAAAGGAGGGAAGAGAGGAGCAGCCGUGCUGGAUGUGCAGAGGAGCUCAACCCUUUAGAGGGUGGAGUCUUGCAGGAGGAAGGGGGUCUCUAGGGCAGGCUGCAAGGACCCAUAGCCUCACUCCAUUGCCUGCCCCGCCUCCCAUGAAUGGAUGAAAGUUGCAAUCAGCCAGCUCUCCUUCCUGCUGCCAGCCAUGUCUUUCCCACCACAAUGGUAUGCAUCCUUCUGGGAGCAUAAAUCAAAAUAAACUUAAUUUUAAGUUA